This 252-nucleotide ribosomal RNA is filed under the name Paraprevotella clara YIT 11840. Its description in RNAcentral is "partial 16S ribosomal RNA". It matches the Rfam family "Bacterial small subunit ribosomal RNA", at positions 524 to 776 of the family's 1533-position model. The record is from RNAcentral. Lineage: Bacteria; Pseudomonadati; Bacteroidota; Bacteroidia; Bacteroidales; Prevotellaceae.
UACGGAAGAUGCGAGCGUUAUCCGGAUUUAUUGGGUUUAAAGGGAGCGUAGGCGGGCUUUUAAGUCAGCGGUCAAAUGUCGUGGCUCAACCAUGGCCAGCCGUUGAAACUGUAAGCCUUGAGUCUGCACAGGGCACAUGGAAUUCGUGGUGUAGCGGUGAAAUGCUUAGAUAUCACGAAGAACUCCGAUCGCGAAGGCAUUGUGCCGGGGCAGCACUGACGCUGAGGCUCGAAAGUGCGGGUAUCAAACAGG